RNAcentral lists this ribosomal RNA (465 nucleotides) under uncultured bacterium. RNAcentral describes it as "partial 16S ribosomal RNA". It matches the Rfam family "Bacterial small subunit ribosomal RNA", at positions 339 to 795 of the family's 1533-position model. The record is from RNAcentral.
CUACGGGCGGCUGCAGUGGGGAAUAUUGCACAAUGGGCGCAAGCCUGAUGCAGCCAUGCCGCGUGUAUGAAGAAGGCCUUCGGGUUGUAAAGUACUCUCAGCGGGGAGGAAGGGAGUAAAGUUAAUACCUUUGCUCAUUGACGUUACCCGCAGAAGAAGCACCGGCGAACUCCGUGCCAGGCAGCCGCGGUAAUACGGAGGGUGCAAGCGUUAAUCGGAAUUACUGGGCGUAAAGCGCACGCAGGCGGUUUGUUAAGUCAGAUGUGAAAUCCCCGGGCUCAACCUGGGAACUGCAUCUGAUACUGGCAAGCUUGGGUCUCGUAGAGGGGGGUAGAAUUCCAGGUGUAGCGGUGAAAUGCGUAGAGAUCUGGAGGAAUACCGGUGGCGAAGGCGGCCCCCUGGACGAAGACUGACGCUCAGGUGCGAAAGCGUGGGGAGCAAACAGGAUUAGAUACCCCCGUAGUC